Long non-coding RNA from Pelmatolapia mariae (spotted tilapia), 1276 nucleotides. RefSeq lists it as uncharacterized. The record is from RefSeq and is a predicted model, not a curated record. Lineage: Eukaryota; Metazoa; Chordata; Actinopteri; Cichliformes; Cichlidae. The transcript has 5 exons.
CCUCCAUUCAGAACAAUGACCCAGCUGUGUGUGUGGCCCUUUUCUCUUUGGAGUCAUACAACACAUGGAAGCUCUGCUAACAGGGAACCAGAAGAAGAUGUGAAAACGCUGAAGAGGAAGGCAGCUCAGACAAAGAAAAAAGAAAAGUGAAUCUAAGUCAAGUAAGGUAUGGAUAAUUGCUCUGCCCUAUUUACUGAGAAACUCCCUCUCCUUUCACCACUGGAGGGCAAUCCCUAGCUUCAGAGUUCAGAGUGGGUGUACUGGUCUUUAUCCUUGACACUUCAAGUUGUGCUGCUCACGGAAAACGUGGCUUGGAAUGGUGAAAUACCCCUGCACUCAUCCAUCAGCUAUUCAGUCAUUCAUCUCUCCUUAUUGCAUCUCUAGCAGUUGCAGUCCAGCAUACCCACAUCAUAACAGAUUACCUCGCCUUGAGGGUUUCAGUGCUUUAGGAACAUAACCCCCGUGAAUUUCAGGGGUCGAUGCUAUGCUGAUUUUAGAGCAACAUACUAGGCUAGGCAGCGCCUGUACCACCUACGACAACUGAGGAAGUUCAGGGUCUCUCCAGAGAUCCUCAGGAUUUUCUAUACAGGCGCUGUGGAGAGCAUCCUCACACAGAACAUCACAUCCCGGUUUGGGAACAGCUGUGUUAAGGACCAAAAAGCUCUUCAGAGAGUGAUCCGUACAGCAGAACGCUGCUGCAGGAUUGCUCUCCCCCCACUUCAGGACACCUACACCAGGAGAUGCCGGACUAGAGCAGCGCAGAUACUGAAGGACCCGUCCCAUCCUGGCAACAAACUGUUCCAACUUAUGCAAUUCCGGUAGAAGGUUCUGCAUCAUCCGGACAGAGAGACUCAAGAGGAGCUUCUUUCCCCAAGCCAUCCGGGCCCUAAACCAACCCUAACUUGCAUAUUUCAGCAAGACAAUGUUAAACUGCAUACUGCAUCUGUUACAACAGCAUGGCUUCAUAGCAUAUGAAUCUGGGUGCUGACCUGGGCUGCAGGCAGUUCAGACCUUUCACCAACUGACAACAUUUGGCUCAUCAGGAAACAUGAUGAGAAGAAUAGGACAACAUUCCUCUCAAAAAAUCCAGAAACUGGUCUCCUUCAGUUCCCAGACAUUUGUUGAUAGCUGCUAAAAGAAGAGAGGAUGUCACACGGUGGUAAACAUGGCCCUGCCCCAACUGUUUUUUAAAGCUGUUAGUGCCUCAGAAGGCGCUACUAUUUUCCCUAAAAUGGUGAAUUUUCUCAGCUAAAACUUUUAAUUUGUUUUCUCUAUU